Molecule: long non-coding RNA, 895 nt
Filed under: Cyanistes caeruleus (blue tit)
Lineage: Eukaryota; Metazoa; Chordata; Aves; Passeriformes; Paridae
Description: lncRNA (ENSCCEG00000022544.1)
Source: RNAcentral
GGAUUUCCUUGAAUUAGUGCAUUCCCUUUGGGACAUCUUGGUUGUUAAAUGAAAAUGUUCCUUUUCAGGUAUUUGUGCUGAAUGUGGAAGCUCAGGUGCAGGAAAGAGUUUCAUGGUUGCUCUGUUGGAAUAAUCUUCUAAGAUAUUUGUACAUGUUUUUCAUACCCUGGAGUUUCGUAAUGGUGGGUUUUUUUCCCCCUCCUCUCAGGGCUAGCUGUUCUACCUAUUCCAUCUUGACUUACAGGUCUUUUAUUGCAAUUUAAUAGUUGUUCUUAAUCUUUUCCAGGUGCACAUAAUGAUCCUGCUCCUGACACAGAUCUUUUGCCACAGGAAGCCUGUGAGGAAGCUGAGAAGUGCUUCUUGGAUUAUCAGUCCUUUCCAGAAGCUACACUCUUCUCCUUGGAAAUGUUAUCAUGGGUGGUCUUGAUGGAAAAGCACUGCAGACUCUAAUGGUGAAUGUUAAAGUGGCUUCAUAAAUCUGUGCACAAACUGAAGUGGCAGGAGCUGCAUCCAGCCUCUCCAGUUUACCUGGCCAUGCUGUUGCAGUUUAUUUAGGUCUGGACAAGCUGACUGUUGUUCCUGCUUGCACAGUCCAGCUACAUUUCCAUUCUGGUCAGGUCAGUGUCCAUCAUUUCCAGGCAGAGAUCUUCAGCACUCCCCUCCACUUCAGUCUCCAGACUUGCCUGCAGAGACUCAGUUGCAUGCUGAUGGUUGCUUUCACAAAAUGGGAACAGGACACCACAUCAUCUCCAGGCAGCAGAGAGGGGCUCUCUGGCAGCUGAUGGAGGCUGGAGCAAAGAGCUGGGGAGAGAGCCCAGGAAACACUGGAGUGAGAGGGACAGUACCUUGGAGGGCAGUAGAGUCCAUGGAAAGGUCUAUCAGACAUCUCUGCUGA